This 58-nucleotide transfer RNA is filed under the name Diaphorina citri (Asian citrus psyllid). It matches the Rfam family "tRNA", at positions 8 to 63 of the family's 71-position model. From Rfam's summary of the family: Transfer RNA (tRNA) molecules are approximately 80 nucleotides in length. Lineage: Eukaryota; Metazoa; Arthropoda; Insecta; Hemiptera; Psyllidae. The record is from Rfam by way of RNAcentral.
UAGCUUGGUUGGUAGCGCGUUCGCCUUAUAAGCAAUAGGCCGCGGGUUCGAUUCCCGC